RNAcentral lists this long non-coding RNA (339 nucleotides) under Vitis vinifera (wine grape). Its description in RNAcentral is "long non-coding RNA (VVIN_LNC007654)". The record is from RNAcentral. Lineage: Eukaryota; Viridiplantae; Streptophyta; Magnoliopsida; Vitales; Vitaceae.
GGGCCUGCCUGGUGAAUCUACACGAUUUAGCCUAUCAGGAUCCGGUUUUUUGGUUGGUGCGGGAGUAGGUGCCUCUGGCAGAGCAUCCGCCAUCUGUUUGCUAACGGAAAGCAGCGACUUACUAGAUAGGAGCCCGUUCCAGGAUUCGUUUUGGGGGACCAUCUCGAUCGAAACGGUUAUCUAUGCUUGGAGGACAAUCAAUUGCUCAAGCUUGUCUAACGACCCUCCAUUCAAAUCAUUUACGAGAAUAGAACCUUUAUCUGUAUGGGAAAGAGGGGUUCUACCUAUGCGUCGGUUGGGAGGAGGGCCGGGAAGUCUGAAGGGAAUGGAUGUUUUCCG